Molecule: ribosomal RNA, 468 nt
Filed under: uncultured bacterium
Lineage: Bacteria
Description: partial 16S ribosomal RNA
Rfam family: Bacterial small subunit ribosomal RNA
Source: RNAcentral
GAUGAACGCUGACAGAAUGCUUAACACAUGCAAGUCAACUUGAAUUUGGGUUUUUUAACUUAGAUUUGGGUGGCGGACGGGUGAGUAACGCGUAAAGAACUUGCCUCACAGCUAGGGACAACAUUUGGAAACGAAUGCUAAUACCUGAUAUUAUGAUUAUAAGGCAUCUUAGAAUUAUGAAAGCUAUAUGCGCUGUGAGAGAGCUUUGCGUCCCAUUAGCUAGUUGGAGAGGUAACGGCUCACCAAGGCGAUGAUGGGUAGCCGGCCUGAGAGGGUGAACGGCCACAAGGGGACUGAGACACGGCCCUUACUCCUACGGGAGGCAGCAGUGGGGAAUAUUGGACAAUGGACCAAGAGUCUGACCCAGCAAUUCUGUGUGCACGAUGACGUUUUUCGGAAUGUAAAGUGCUUUCAGUUGGGAAGAAAAAAAUGACGGUACCAACAGAAGAAGUGACGGCUAAAUACGUG